This 165-nucleotide small nuclear RNA is filed under the name Erinaceus europaeus (western European hedgehog). RNAcentral's name for it is "U1 spliceosomal RNA". It matches the Rfam family "U1 spliceosomal RNA". From Rfam's summary of the family: U1 is a small nuclear RNA (snRNA) component of the spliceosome (involved in pre-mRNA splicing). Its 5' end forms complementary base pairs with the 5' splice junction, thus defining the 5' donor site of an intron. There are significant differences in sequence and secondary structure between metazoan and yeast U1 snRNAs, the latter being much longer (568 nucleotides as compared to 164 nucleotides in human). Lineage: Eukaryota; Metazoa; Chordata; Mammalia; Eulipotyphla; Erinaceidae. The record is from Rfam by way of RNAcentral.
AUACUUACCUGGCAGGGGAGAUACCAUGAUCACGAAGGUGGUUUUCCCAGGGCGAGGCUUAUCCAUUGCACUCCGGAUGUGCUGACCCCUGCGAUUUCCCCAAAUGUGGGAAACUCGACUGCAUAAUUUGUGGUAGUGGGGGAAAAAAAAAAAGUAUUGCUCUUU